This 832-nucleotide long non-coding RNA is filed under the name Helianthus annuus (common sunflower). RNAcentral's name for it is "hypothetical non coding rna". Lineage: Eukaryota; Viridiplantae; Streptophyta; Magnoliopsida; Asterales; Asteraceae. The record is from RNAcentral.
UCCCAUAGAUAUUCCAGGGCAAAUUCUCCUUCCAGCCCCAAACGGGAUCAACUCAAAAUCAUUGCCUUUAAAGCCAAUAUCACUAUUCAAAAACCUCUCUGGUGAGAAUUCCUCAGGAUUCUCCCAAGAUCCCGGGUCUCUUCCAAUGGCCAACGCAUUCACAUAAACUAUGGUUUUCUUCUUGAUCUUGUAGCCAUGUAUAAUUGUAUCUUCGGUCGUUUCUCGAGGUAUAAGAAGUGGAGCUGCGGGGUAUAAUCUCAAGACCUCUUUUACCACUGCCUUCAUAUAGGGUUCUUUAUUAGUGAUGUCAUCGCCCAAACCAAUGUAGCCGCACUAUUAUCAGUUCCAGCUACCAAGAUAUCCUAUAUGAGGGACAAAGAAAACAAUUAGAUACCCAAAAUGAUUGAUCUUCUAAGACGCUAGUUUAAUACAAAACAUGUAAUGGCCUACUACAAAAAGUAUGAUCUUGGGUUUUUAAGAUUUCUUUUGCUAGACUCGCUGAAGAAACAACGAUGGCUGGGAUGAAACCUAAGUUGAGGGAUACAAUCGGACCAUAGGAUUUGGAGAGCUUCCAUAGGGAAGUGUGGAGGCUUGAGUUAUCGAUUUGGUGCAUAUUUCCGAUGAAGGGUAGUCCACGAGGGCCAGGUGGACGACUAGUUUUUGAUUUGGUUUUGACGAUUUUGGGAAGAAGGUAGAUGAAAGACAGGAAGAGAAGAGAAACAAGUAGAAACUGAAUAAGAGAGUCCAUUGUUGAUAUAUUAUUCUUGAGUAUUACCUUUUGUUAUAUAUAGACCACCUGGAAUUAAUUAAUUGAAACUAGACGUGCAUUUGU